CGUGUGGUUAAUGAUGACCUCUCUUUCCCCGACUUAUCGACCAUGGUGAUACAGCUGUCAAAUAAGCCAAUUGGAUUCUGAAACCACAAG
Scophthalmus maximus (turbot) is the source of this 90-nucleotide small nucleolar RNA. Ensembl annotates it as small nucleolar RNA, C/D box 12B. The record is from Ensembl. NCBI's taxonomy places the organism in Eukaryota, Metazoa, Chordata, Actinopteri, Pleuronectiformes, Scophthalmidae.